CCUACGACUCUCGGCAANGGAUAUCUCGGUUCUCGCAUCGAUGAAGAACGUAGCGAAAUGCGAUUCCUGGUGUGAAUUGCAGAAUCCCGCGAACCACCGAGUCUUUGAAUGCAAGUUGCGCCCGAGGCCAGCCGGUNGAGGGCACGCCUGCCUGGGCNUCANNC
Molecule: ribosomal RNA, 164 nt
Filed under: Bactris killipii
Lineage: Eukaryota; Viridiplantae; Streptophyta; Magnoliopsida; Arecales; Arecaceae
Description: 5.8S ribosomal RNA
Rfam family: 5.8S ribosomal RNA
About the family: 5.8S ribosomal RNA (5.8S rRNA) is a component of the large subunit of the eukaryotic ribosome. It is transcribed by RNA polymerase I as part of the 45S precursor that also contains 18S and 28S rRNA.
Source: RNAcentral